UGUUAGGACUAGUAAUAGUCUGUGUGGAAGUGUCUGGCUGGCUCCUCUGUGUUGAUCCCGCAGCGCACUGCCUGUCCCGUAGAGUGUGCCCUGUGCUGCCAAGGACAACGUGCGGUGGUGGCAUUUGCCUUGUAGGGCGAAGAUGGCACGAGGGCACUCAAGUGUCCAUCUUUGGAGGAGGGAGCAGAAAAGCAUACUGGGAGCCCCUGGCUCAUUGCCACCACUGCGCUGGUUCUGCAAGUGGCAGAGGACCCGAGAGAUCCAAGAGCUGAAACCGGUUGAUAAGUCCAAAACUGCCAAGGCUAUCUGCUUCAACUGACACCUUAUCACCAGCCAGCAGCAUUCAGAGGAAGAGACGCGAGCAUGACACUGGGGGAGAGCAGCUGCAGCGUGCAAUGCCCAGCACCGUCUUAUAAACAUCACUCUCGGAUGGGUCGGGAGAACUGAAUCACACCGUGGUGCACGGGUGGCUUUGCAGUGCUAGUCAAACACUGAGCUAACUCUGCCUCCCUUCCUUCUCUUUUAACAUCUGAGCUAAGAGCAUCAGUUUUACCACACAACCUACCAAUCUCUCUGAUCCAUUCCCUCCUGUAAAUCCCCUGGUCUGCUCUAGAGACAAUUCUCAUAAAGUCAUACAUUGCCCUGAACACCAAACCCUGGAUUGGGCACAAUGACUGUCUCUGGAUUAGAAGAAGUAUAGACAUCAGAAUACCUCAGCCUCACAGAGCAGACCCCAUUGUACCUACAGCAGCACAGGGUCCUGUGUGUGAUGCGCACUCAGCUCAUUGCAUAAUUUAAUGACCCGUAAGGGGUCAGUCUGCACAGCAUUGACAUGACGCCACAGUUCAGCACCCAAUGGAGACAGGAAUUCCACAGGACCUGACCUUUCUCCUACUUCUGAAGGGGAAAAGGCCCGGAGCUCAGGAAAAACUAUAAAGUCCGUUGAGCUGUCCAGGGACCCAACAGCUGGUGUCAGGCAGGCACGGAAUGAAAAAGAAGGUGGUUUGUCCUUCUCGCGUCGCAUGUUGCUUAGCACCUGGUAACAGAAGAGGCCCAGGCCCAAGGCAAGGUGCAGCAGCAGCAUGUUGUGAUCACAUUGCAGCAGGACACGCUCAAUGCGCUGGCCCUUAAAGGCCACCUUGAAAGACGCCAACAAGGUGAGGAGCAGCGAAUAUAGAACUGAAUGUGCUGACUCAGCUCCCUCAACAUCUUCAAUCCCUUUUCAGUCUGAGUUUCAUGUGUGCAGUCUUACCAAAACACAUGCACAAAUGCACCAGAUGAAUACUAUAUAGAAACGUGACAGAAAAAACUAUGAACUGUUUAAAUGUUUAAAUUGAGGUUUUUCCAUCACUGAGACAUAUAUAUUUAACGAGAGAUUAUAGAUGUUAGUGCAUUUAAAUAGUAAAUAGUUUGUAGUGAAUUACCAGAAGUGACAAAGUUGAAGAUUAGGCCAACCCUUCAAGGAACUGGCUAACUAUAAUCUGUGAGAUUAUCAGUUUUGGGCCAAGAAUGGCAGUCCAAAAACCACUCUGAAAGCCUAGUUGACAUGGAGUAGUGAAUGUAAACAGCAUUUUUUAAUUUUAAAAACUUUCUUUUACUAACGCAUCCUGAAUAUUCUCCAGUGUCAAUGCUGUCAGGCUGUUUGGACUUCAUUAUCCCAGAUCAUAACUGGCCUCAGCUGUGCACUGACAGGCCCUUUCCUGUAUGGGCCUGGGUCAACAGAGAUGACAAAAUGAUACCAUCUCUUCUCUGAGGGUGUCAAAUGUCUCUGUGUCAUAUUGAGCAUGUCUCUUUGCCCUGUCCCCUGGAUUAGGUAAUAAUAUACCCAGAGCCUCCCUCCCAGCCAGUCUGAAUCCCAUUAGCCAUCACCUUCAUUCCUCACGCCCGCUGAAGGGAUCUGAAGCCUGGCUCAAGCCCUUUUAAGGGGGGGUGUGAGAUCAGGUGAGGACCAGUGUCCUUCUCAGUCUGAUGACAACUCCGACAGGUCCUUGCCCUGUGUUGGGAGGGGCCUGAGCUGAGCUCAGGCAUCUUAAAAGGAUGGCAUGCAUUCUUGACUUAAAGGCGCAUUGUACAUUGCUAUCUGCUACAGCUGAUAACAACACCUCCCAGCUUUAAAUAAAAUGUAAAGUAAAAUGUAAAAACUGUUUUUUGAGCUGACUGUGUUCUUUGUUUUGCUUCCUAUUCAUCCGUGUGAAGUCAAGUGACACAUAUGUUUUAAAAUAUUUUAAUGUAAAAAUAAAAUUGCAGCAGAGAAGACAUUGUGAAUGUUUAAUUAAAAAAAAAAUGGAUCUGUGACUUUUUAUUGGUUUUCCCAACUUUCUAUUUGUCAGGAUGAGAGGGUAACUAAUAAAUGAUGUGUACGUUAGAAAUAUGGGAUACUUUGCUGAUCUCUCACA
Anguilla anguilla (European eel) is the source of this 2396-nucleotide long non-coding RNA. RefSeq lists it as uncharacterized. NCBI's taxonomy places the organism in Eukaryota, Metazoa, Chordata, Actinopteri, Anguilliformes, Anguillidae. The record is from RefSeq and is a predicted model, not a curated record. The transcript has 3 exons.